This 468-nucleotide ribosomal RNA is filed under the name uncultured bacterium. RNAcentral describes it as "partial 16S ribosomal RNA". It matches the Rfam family "Bacterial small subunit ribosomal RNA", at positions 28 to 507 of the family's 1533-position model. The record is from RNAcentral.
GACGAACGCUGGCGGCGUGCUUAACACAUGCAAGUCGAACGGAAAGGCCCUGCUUUUGUGGGGUGCUCGAGUGGCGAACGGGUGAGUAACACGUGAGUAACCUGCCCUUGACUUUGGGAUAACUUCAGGAAACUGGGGCUAAUACCGGAUAGGAGCGCCUGCUGCAUGGUGGGGGUUGGAAAGUUUCGGCGGUUGGGGAUGGACUGGCGGCUUAUCAGCUUGUUGGUGGGGUAGUGGCUUACCAAGGCUUUGACGGGUGGCCGGCCUGGGGGGGUGACCGGCAACAUUGGGACUGAGAAACGGCCCAGCCUCCUCCGGGAGGCAGCAGUGGGGAAUAUUGAACAAUGGGCGGAAGCCUGAUGCAGCAACGCCGCGUGGGGGAUGACGGCCUUCGGGUUGUAACCCGCUUUCGCAUGUGACGAAGCGUGAGUGACGGUAAUGGGUAAAGAAGCACCGGCUAACUACGUG